Chroicocephalus ridibundus (black-headed gull) is the source of this 3596-nucleotide long non-coding RNA. RefSeq lists it as uncharacterized. The record is from RefSeq and is a predicted model, not a curated record. NCBI's taxonomy places the organism in Eukaryota, Metazoa, Chordata, Aves, Charadriiformes, Laridae. The transcript is spliced from 4 exons.
GAAAAUGGCUUUUUGGAGAGAUUCAGGUUAGUAUUGCACAUGACUGGUGUUAUGGUGUCACGACGCCUGCAGGUGUGCAGGUGCUGCCUCGGCGUUCAGAGGAUUUCCCUUCUCUGCUGUGCGUAAGUUUUCACUCUGUUUUCAGUGCAGUGGGACCAGGAAUGAACAGGAGAAUUCUACGCCACUCCUGUACACACAAUUUCUGUUCCAGGACUAAACAGGCCUCUUUCAGAAAGUACAUACAGUGACAACUGGAUAAAUGCAGGCUCCCACAUGGAUAAAAGGCAUCGUCUGCUGACAGCACUGAAUUUUUCCCUGGUGAAUUUUUGCUUCUACUUCUCAGAUGUGGGGGAUUCCCAUGAAGAAAUUUUCUUCUCUUGCAACUAUUGCCGGCUUCGCUGAGUAACAGUGUCUGUGCUUUUUUCCUUUUGUCAUUUUCCCAUUGGAUGGCAUCCCUUUGAACAAGAAAAAUCCAAAGAUGAAAGGGGGAGCCAGAGGAGAGGGCGAACGCCUGACUUUCCCUCAUCGUACAAUGUUUGCCUAGAGGGACGGCAUAUGGAAGAUAGUAUAAAGCAAAGGUUUUGAAGCAGGAGUGAAGGUCAUUGAUGCUGCUUUUGUGCUACUGAGGGCUAUGCACGGCUUGCAGUAAACGUACCGGGAAAGGUGGUUCACAACAUCCAGCAGGAUCUUGGCCCAGGCAGUUGAAACCAAAAGCAAAGCAAAGCAAAUUGGUGCAGUAAAGCUGCUGUCUACAUGUGUACGCACACGUGCAGACACUCCUUUGGAAUAGGACUCCGGUUUAUUGCUCCAAAAGUCUACGGACAUUGAAAGUGCGAUGGAAGCCAGGGAACACUUAACAUUAUCAUUCUGAUAACAUUUUGCAAUUAAAAUCCACACAUCUCAGGCUCCCACUUAGAGCUGCUAUAGAGAUAAGAACCAGGCAGCUCCAAGCAAUUAGUCCAGUGGUAAGCAAGGAAAACAUAUUUCCCUCCUGCUUUAUAAUAAUAAUAUGACUAUAAUUUGAAAGCUUUAAAAAAAAUGGCCAAAUAAGAAGAAGGAAAGUUAAGCAAAGUCCAUUUUUGUCAGCUGGGAUGAGGGCUGACGGUGGUGAUACACGUGCCACGUGGCCUGAAUCCCUACCUCCUCAGACUUUUUCAUCGGAGGCUAUUAUGGGACAGCCAGAUGCUCCAAAAAGCAGUAUGGUGGAUGCAGUAGGAAGCAUUUCUCCGCCUUAUUUGAGCUGAUACAAUAUCCAAGCAAACAGUGCGGGGAAUAAUUUUUGGCACAUAAAGCCAAAGUCCAAAUUAAGGCGUUUAAAAUCCUACCCAUGUCCCACAGAUAUAGAAAUGGAGUUAACUAGGGUGUCCCGGCCGGAGUCUAAUGGUCCCAGACUUCUGGCUGGCUACACUAGUCUCUGCUUUUAUUUUUAGACUGCAGCUUAUUUUUGGCAUCUCUUAAAGUGAUGUAUUGCGUCCCUGGAAAGAUCUGCAUUUCUCUGUGUGAACCGUGGGCUGUUUAUAUAUCAAUUCAUUGCAUUUCUGGGGAUCCUUAGGGAUGAGAUGUACCGUAUCCAUUUAAACUGCUUUUAUUGUUAUGCCUUAAGGGUAAAUACAGGGCAAGUCAUUUGAAAGUGCCUACCACUUGGAAGACAAGUUUUCCCUGGUGUUAUUCCCAUUUCUCAGGUGGAAGUUUUGUUAAAGCGCGUUGCUUGCGAAGCUGGAAGCUGAUGCUCGCUGCCUGAUGCAGCAGAGCUUGCUGCCACGUGUGUUUCAUUUAGGAAAGAGGAGACUCGGGCUGGGGGAAGAGAAGAGCGGCAGAGCCAGGCUUCUUGAGCUUGCUGGACAACUUUCCCUUCAGCAAUACGAGUAACGUUGCUCCCCACCGGUCCAGCCCCCUCUGUGGUUGCAGACAAAGUGGAAGCACCUGACAGGGAAAAUAUGAACUGGGAGCGCGCUAAUGAUUAAAAAGGGACUUUCCCCCUGCAAGCAACUGUGACAUUUGGUAAUGUUACCGUCUCUAGUUCUUCCCAGCAAGGAGGAGCCUUGCAAAUGUGGAGAGAGCGGCAUGGCGGGACCGUGCAGAAAACCGACCCGGUGAGAAUUCGGGAGGGAGAGCUCUGCCUGGCAGAGGCCGAGCGCGGGCAGCCAGCGGGGCCGUGCCGAGGAGGGAGGUGCUUUCCUUUCUGUUCGCAUUAUGCAUCCAGAGGCUCGAAGCUGGAUCUGGACACAAAUUUCCCAGUGGUACUGGGUGAUAUUUUGAGCAAACCAAAGACCUGAACUGAGUUAACGCUGAGUUGUCCGAGCGGGAGGCUGUGCAGGGGCAGUGAGAGCACACCGUUUGCUCUGAGCCUCCUCGCACUCCUGUGCAACCCUUCUCCCUACAGCUGGUGGGUGCGAGUCAUCGUGGACAGACACAAAAAGCCAGUACGCUGCUUCUCUGUGAGCAGUGGGAGCUCGCCGCAGCAGACAGACACACGGCGAGCCUUAAUUAGAAGCUGAACUGCGUGGGGGCCCAGGGAUUUCCCUGGGGACGGAUGUGGCAAACGCAGGGGCUAAUGCAGCGAGUGCUGUAGCUGUGUGUCUGAGCUAGCAGGGGAGCUGCCAGGGGAGGAAGCAGGAAAUACUAGACAAUACCAAGAGCAUAACCCUGAGAGAAAAAAAAAAAAAGAAGAAAAAAAGCCAACGGAAGAUGAACUUCUGGCUGGAUGCUUCCUGAAAAAGCCCUGGGACUGCCAGGCGAGGGUCUGUCUGGAGGUCGGUUCCUCCUGUGCGCACCCUCUUUGGAGGAGGGCAGGCUCUCUGCUCCCUGCUCCUUCUCCCGGUCAAAGUCCUUUGGAGCCCCAAAGCCCAGCAGACCACAGGGCUCUGGGAGGGGUAACCCCGAUCGAUCACCAACAAAUUGCCUGUGGCUGACGAUGGGUGUCAGCAGCAGCUGCUGCCGAGAAGGUGCUAAGGGGGGGCUCAGCUUUAAGUGCAGAACACUCCAGGGCUCUGCUCCCCAAGUUCCUAAGGCUUUAACCUCAUUGUUUUCUGGAGUGGUUGAGGGCUGUGCUCGGAGCUGGAGCGUUGGCAGUGCCAGCAGGGAGCGCACGCAGCAUUGCCAAGGACUGGAUGUGCUUCUGGUGCCAUGUCCUGGUCCAGCCCGUCCAUCCUCUACCCAUACCGAUGGCUGUUGACGAGAGCGGGGCUGCAGUGCCUGGGGUAGUGCAGUUGUUCUUUGGAGGAGAGCAAGCUGGGAGAAGAGCUCCAAGGGACAGCAAAGAUUUAGGCUGCAUUGACAGGACUGCUAGGUGAGCUCUGGUUUACAGGCUGAGAGAGGCUAAAUGCAGGCUCAGGGGGGUUAAAUGCAGAUUCUUCCAAACUCCAAACACCCCGUGCUCCGCAUGCUCCGGGUAUUCCUGCACUGCCAGGAUGCAGGCUCUCCAGACCGGGUUAUAAUAGAAUCCUCAUUUCCUCCCAGAGCUCUUGCUCUCUCAUAUUCCUGUUUAUUUUUGUGCAGCCAACUGCUUACUCCGAGCACGACCGCUCCUGGGGCAGGUGAUGGCUGGCAGCCAGUUUGGGGCCACCAGCACUUACGGGCGCCAGGGGACAAGCAGU